AUUGAACGCUGGCGGCAUGCCUUACACAUGCAAGUCGAACGGUAACGGGCCUUCGGGUGCCGACGAGUGGCGAACGGGUGAGUAAUACAUCGGAACGUGCCCGAUCGUGGGGGAUAACGAGGCGAAAGCUUCGCUAAUACCGCAUACGAUCUACGGAUGAAAGCAGGGGACCGCAAGGCCUUGCGCGGACGGAGCGGCCGAUGGCAGAUUAGGUAGUUGGUGGGAUAAAAGCUUACCAAGCCGACGAUCUGUAGCUGGUCUGAGAGGAUGAUCAGCCACACUGGGACUGAGACACGGCCCAGACUCCUACGGGAGGCAGCAGUGGGGAAUUUUGGACAAUGGGCGCAAGCCUGAUCCAGCCAUGCCGCGUGCAGGAUGAAGGCCUUCGGGUUGUAAACUGCUUUUGUACGGAACGAAAAGCCUUCUUUUAAUACAGGAGGGUCAUGACGGUACCGUAAGAAUAAGCACCGGCUAACUACGUG
RNAcentral lists this ribosomal RNA (482 nucleotides) under uncultured bacterium. RNAcentral describes it as "partial 16S ribosomal RNA". It matches the Rfam family "Bacterial small subunit ribosomal RNA", at positions 30 to 507 of the family's 1533-position model. The record is from RNAcentral.